CCUACGGGGGGCAGCAGUGGGGAAUAUUGGACAAUGGGCGAAAGCCUGAUCCAGCCAUGCCGCGUGUGUGAAGAAGGCCUUCGGGUUGUAAAGCACUUUCAGUGGGGAAGAAAGCCUUGGGGCUAAUACCCUCGAGGAAGGACAUCACCCACAGAAGAAGCACUGGCUAACUCCGUGCCAGCAGCCGCGGUAAUACGGAGGGUGCGAGCGUUAAUCGGAAUUACUGGGCGUAAAGCGCGCGUAGGCGGUCUGAUAAGCCGGUUGUGAAAGCCCCGGGCUCAACCUGGGAACGGCAUCCGGAACUGUCAGGCUAGAGUGCAGGAGAGGAAGGUAGAAUUCCCGGUGUAGCGGUGAAAUGCGUAGAGAUCGGGAGGAAUACCAGUGGCGAAGGCGGCCUUCUGGACUGACACUGACGCUGAGGUGCGAAAGCGUGGGUAGCAAACAGGAUUAGAUACCCCGGUAGUC
This 465-nucleotide ribosomal RNA is filed under the name Vreelandella stevensii. RNAcentral describes it as "partial 16S ribosomal RNA". It matches the Rfam family "Bacterial small subunit ribosomal RNA", at positions 338 to 795 of the family's 1533-position model. The record is from RNAcentral. Lineage: Bacteria; Pseudomonadati; Pseudomonadota; Gammaproteobacteria; Oceanospirillales; Halomonadaceae.